RNAcentral lists this transfer RNA (79 nucleotides) under Uromastyx shobraki. Its description in RNAcentral is "tRNA-His". The record is from RNAcentral. Lineage: Eukaryota; Metazoa; Chordata; Lepidosauria; Squamata; Agamidae.
GAUCAUGGUAGGCUUAAACCAAACCGCUAGGCCGUGGCCCUAACAACAGAAGAAACUCACUAAAACCUUCUCCAUGACC